RNAcentral lists this ribosomal RNA (407 nucleotides) under uncultured Geobacteraceae bacterium. RNAcentral's name for it is "bacterial SSU rRNA". It matches the Rfam family "Bacterial small subunit ribosomal RNA", at positions 486 to 841 of the family's 1533-position model. The record is from RNAcentral. Lineage: Bacteria; Pseudomonadati; Thermodesulfobacteriota; Desulfuromonadia; Geobacterales; Geobacteraceae.
GGAAGCACCGGCUAACUCCGUGCCAGCAGCCGCGGUAAUACGGAGGGUGCGAGCGUUGUUCGGAUUUAUUGGGCGUAAAGCGCGUGUAGGCGGUUUUUUAAGUCUGAUGUGAAAGCCCCGGGCUCAACCUGGGAAGUGCAUUGGAUACUGGGAGACUUGAAUACGGGAGAGGGUAGUGGAAUUCCUAGUGUAGGAGUGAAAUCCGUAGAUAUUAGGAGGAACACCGGUGGCGAAGGCGGCUACUGGACCGAUAUUGACGCUGAGACGCGAAAGCGUGGGAGCAAACAGGAUUAGAUACCUGGAGUCACGCCGUAACGAUGAGAACUAGGUGUUGCGGUAAGGGCGAAUCAGCAACUGCGGCGUACUAGUGAUCGAGUCGUACAGCUUGCUAUCUGUCUGKGAUCUGA